AGCGAACGCUGGCGGCAGGCUUAACACAUGCAAGUCGAGCGGGGAUCCUUGUGGUGUCAGCGGCAGACGGUUGAGUAACGCGUGGGAACUUGUCCUUCGGUUCGGAAUAACUCAGGGAAACUUGAGCUAAUACCGGAUACGUGCGAGAGCAGAAAGGUUUAUCUACCGAAGGAUCGGCCCGCGUCUGAUUAGCUAGUUGGUGAGGUUACGGCUCACCAAGGCGACGAUCAGUAGCUGGUCUAAGAGGAUGAUCAGCCACACUGGGACUGAGACACGGCCCAGACUCCUACGGGAGGCAGCAGUGGGGAAUAUUGGACAAUGGGGGCAACCCUGAUCCAGCCAUGCCGCGUGAGUGAUGAAGGCCUUAGGGUUGUAAAGCUCUUUUCUCCGGGAAGAUAAUGACGGUACCGGAGGAAUAAGCCCCGGCUAACUUCGUG
This 437-nucleotide ribosomal RNA is filed under the name uncultured bacterium. Its description in RNAcentral is "partial 16S ribosomal RNA". It matches the Rfam family "Bacterial small subunit ribosomal RNA", at positions 29 to 507 of the family's 1533-position model. The record is from RNAcentral.